GUUAAAUACUAAGCAACUGUCAUCUGCUUGAUGAAUGUCAGAAGUGAGAGCCCUAGUUGACUUGCAAGACUGCGUGGCUCCAGAGUAAGAAGGGUGGGGAGUGUAACACUGAUGAGUCUCUAAUCUGGCUCUCUGGUGCAGGAGGGAGAUGACCUCGAUCUUGCGGAGCCCGCAGGCUCUCCAGCUCACUCUGACCCUCAUCAAGCCUGAUGCCCAGUUGCUCACCCCCUGAUUCUGGAGGCUGUUCAUCAGCAGAUUCUGAGCAACAAGUUCCUUAUUGUGCGAAUGAGAGAACUUCUAUGGAGAAAGGAAGACUGCCAGAAGUUUUACCGAGAGCAUGAAGGACGUUUUUUCUAUCAGCGGCUGGUGGAGUUCAUGGCCAGUGGGCCGAUCCGAGCCUACAUCCUCGCCCACAAGGACGCCAUCCAGCUCUGGAGGACCGUGAUGGGACCCACCAGAGUGUUUCGGGCACGCCACGUGGCCCCAGAUUCAAUUCGUGGGAGUUUUGGCCUCACCGACACCCGUAACACAACCCACGGCUCAGACUCAGUGGUUUCAGCCAGUAGAGAGAUUGCAGUCUUCUUCCCCGAUUUCAGUGAACAGCGCUGGUACGAGGAGGAGGAGCCCCAGUUGCGCUGUGGCCCUGUGCACUACAGUCCCGAGGGUGGCAUCCACUUUGCUGCUCCAGCAGGAGGCCCGGGGCCAGCCUGACACAGGCCUGUGAGUGUGUGAAGACUGCAGCAUCGCCCAACCUUCUCCACAGACCUCUGGUCCCAGAGCAGUCUUCUAGGACCAGGGAGGCGAGGGCUGCUUGCGCCAUCUCUGCUGGGCACCACCACCUGCAUGAGGGUUAAGCUCCUCACUGCCACCUCUUCUAGAAUCUACUAUCUACCUCUUCUCUGGAAUGUUCAUGGCUGGUUCCGAGGAAUGAUGGCUCAGGUUUUUUCUGAGAACUGUUCAUCAUUUUCAAGGAGAAGCUCGCCCAGCUGACUUGCCUGAAAAAUGCAGUGACUCUCUAUUAGUCACGUUUGGUCUGUUUUCCUUAAUAAAAGUCAGUAUGCUACUGAAUAAAGGCUGGGAGCACUACUCGGUGCUCUCUCUCUAACUGGAGCGUUUGAACCCGUCCUAAGUCAAGUUUCUGGUCUAUGCUAAGUGAAGACAGAGUCAAAAUCUCCCAGGAGGUUCACAUGGCGUACAGCUUAUGUAGAGCACGAAGGCCCCUGGCAUAGGCCUGCAUCCUGGAAGAAGGGGCACCUUUGGUUUGAGCAAAAGUAUGUCUGCCAGUAGUGGCAUAUUGUUAUGACUUUUUUUUUUCUGAUUUGCACAGAGCCACUAAAGGCAGCCAUGUCUCUGCUGUAGCUGAGGAUGACAGUUACCUACUAUGCAAAACCACCUCAAGAUUUCAUGGCUUAAAAUAAUGAUGACUGAACUUGUCUAUAUGUCUGUGGAUCAGCUGGGUGAUUCUGCUGGGCUCACUUGGAUGCACAUGGCUGCGUUCAGCAGUUGGGUCCAGCGUGGUCUUUCCUCCUGAGCUGCUGC
RNA transcript from Cervus elaphus (red deer), 1539 nucleotides. It is a transcript of the gene named nucleoside diphosphate kinase 6-like, with no coding region annotated. The transcript is spliced from 5 exons. The record is from RefSeq and is a predicted model, not a curated record. Lineage: Eukaryota; Metazoa; Chordata; Mammalia; Artiodactyla; Cervidae.